CCUGUUCGAGCGUCAUUUACACCACUCAAGCCUGGCUUGGUAUUGGAGUUCGCACACCAGCGGCCCUUAAAAUCAGUGGCGGUGCCGUCGGGCUCUAAGCGUAGUAAUUUAUCUCGCUAUUGGGUCCGGUGGUUGCUUGCCAACAACCCCCAACUUUUAAGGUUGACCUCGGAUCAGGUAGGGAUACCCGCUGAACUUAA
This 200-nucleotide unclassified non-coding RNA is filed under the name soil metagenome. RNAcentral's name for it is "partial contains internal transcribed spacer 2 and large subunit ribosomal RNA". The record is from RNAcentral.